GCGUUCAUAGCUCGGUUGGUUAGAGCACCACCUUGACAUGGUGGGGGUCGUUGGUUCGAGUCCAAUUGAACGCACCA
RNAcentral lists this transfer RNA (77 nucleotides) under Escherichia coli. RNAcentral describes it as "tRNA-Val". It matches the Rfam family "tRNA". Rfam says of the family: Transfer RNA (tRNA) molecules are approximately 80 nucleotides in length. Their secondary structure includes four short double-helical elements and three loops (D, anti-codon, and T loops). RNAcentral also lists the same sequence under 1 other name. Lineage: Bacteria; Pseudomonadati; Pseudomonadota; Gammaproteobacteria; Enterobacterales; Enterobacteriaceae. The record is from RNAcentral.